Vidua chalybeata is the source of this 460-nucleotide long non-coding RNA. RefSeq lists it as uncharacterized. NCBI's taxonomy places the organism in Eukaryota, Metazoa, Chordata, Aves, Passeriformes, Viduidae. The record is from RefSeq and is a predicted model, not a curated record. The transcript is spliced from 3 exons.
UGUCGUGUCCUGUCCUGUGUCACGGGUGUCUGCACAUAUUUGUCCCGGAGCUGCUCUGUCCUGCUGCAUAGCCUGGUGUAAUUGCACAAGUCCUGGAGACCUGCAAUUUGGAAUGGGGGAUGUAGUUGUAUUCUAGAUGGUAUUCCUAGAUUCACACAGGAUGCUUGGACCUGUUAAGUUAUCCUACAGUUGUUUGAAUUUUCUCCUAACUUUCUUUCAGAUGCAGACAUUGAAGAUCUGUGGCAGAGCGCCCCUCCUGGGUCAGGGGGUUUUCCCUGAGAAGGAAGUCCAGGCAGAGAGCUGCAGUCAAGGCCAAGUGUGCCAGGCCAUCCACUCGGCGUACGCUAAGCCCAUGUCAUCAGGUGGCGGACGGACCGGGUUUCCUGCACUCGUGAGCCCUCCGGAAGUAUGACGGGACCCCGUGAUGAAGCCCACACAUCUUGUAUUUCAAGGUCCCGUC